UAACGCGUGGGAAUCUGCCCCUUGCUUCGGAAUAACAGUUAGAAAUGACUGCUAAUACCGGAUGAUGACUUCGGUCCAAAGAUUUAUCGGCAAGGGAUGAGCCCGCGUAGGAUUAGGUAGUUGGUGGGGUAAAGGCCUACCAAGCCGACGAUCCUUAGCUGGUCUGAGAGGAUGAUCAGCCACACUGGGACUGAGACACGGCCCAGACUCCUACGGGAGGCAGCAGUGGGGAAUAUUGGACAAUGGGCGAAAGCCUGAUCCAGCAAUGCCGCGUGAGUGAUGAAGGCCUUAGGGUUGU
This 298-nucleotide ribosomal RNA is filed under the name uncultured Sphingomonadaceae bacterium. RNAcentral's name for it is "partial 16S ribosomal RNA". It matches the Rfam family "Bacterial small subunit ribosomal RNA", at positions 111 to 426 of the family's 1533-position model. Lineage: Bacteria; Pseudomonadati; Pseudomonadota; Alphaproteobacteria; Sphingomonadales; Sphingomonadaceae. The record is from RNAcentral.